AUUGAACGCUGGCGGCAUGCCUUACACAUGCAAGUCGAACGGUAGAGUAGCAAUACUUGAGAGUGGCGAACGGGUGAGUAAUAUAUCGGAACGUGCCCAGUCGUGGGGGAUAACGUAGAGAAAUUUACGCUAAUACCGCAUACGAUCUAAGGAUGAAAGCGGGGGAUUCGCAAGAACCUCGCGCGAUUGGAGCGGCUGAUAUCAGAUUAGGUUGUUGGUGAGGUAAAAGCUCACCAAGCCGACGAUCUGUAGCUGGUUUGAGAGAACGACCAGCCACACUGGGACUGAGACACGGCCCAGACUCCUACGGGAGGCAGCAGUGGGGAAUUUUGGGACAAUGGGCGAAAGCCUGAUCCAGCAAUGCCGCGUGCAGGAGAAGGCCUGGUGUAAGCGACUUUCUAGCGAGGAGGAAGAGU
RNAcentral lists this ribosomal RNA (416 nucleotides) under uncultured bacterium. RNAcentral's name for it is "bacterial SSU rRNA". It matches the Rfam family "Bacterial small subunit ribosomal RNA", at positions 30 to 454 of the family's 1533-position model. The record is from RNAcentral.